ACGGGAGGCAGCAGUGAGGAAUAUUGGUCAAUGGGCGGGAGCCUGAACCAGCCAAGUCGCGUGAAGGAUGAAGGUAUUAUGUAUUGUAAACUUCUUUAGACGUAGAGAAAUAAGGAGGUCGUGACCUCUGGUGCUAGUAUACGUAGAAUAAGGAUCGGCUAACUCCGUGCCAGCAGCCGCGGUAAUACGGAGGAUCCGAGCGUUAUCCGGAUUUAUUGGGUUUAAAGGGUGCGCAGGCGGUCUUUUAAGUCAGUGGUUAAAUCGUGGAGCUCAACUCCAUCCCGCCAUUGAUACUGGAGGACUUGAUUGCGGUCGAGGUUGGCGGAAUUCGCCGUGUAGCGGUGAAAUGCAUAGAUAUGGCGAAGAACUCCGAUUGCGUAGGCAGCUGACCAGGCCGUAAAUGACGCUCAUGCACGAAAGUGCGGGGAUCGAACAGGAUUAGAUACCCUGGUA
Molecule: ribosomal RNA, 453 nt
Filed under: uncultured Porphyromonadaceae bacterium
Lineage: Bacteria; Pseudomonadati; Bacteroidota; Bacteroidia; Bacteroidales; Porphyromonadaceae
Description: partial 16S ribosomal RNA
Rfam family: Bacterial small subunit ribosomal RNA
Source: RNAcentral